GACGGUGGCGAGGCCAGAGAGCCCUCAAAUUCCAACCCGAAGAGACGAUGGGGACACGCUCCUCCCGAUCACAGAUUGGAAACUGAGGCCCAGAGAGGGCAACUGCCUUGCUUGAGGUCACAUAGCGAGUUAGAAGUAGGGCUUGGUCUGGACCCAGGGGCGUUUUGACUCCCCAAGCUCCAGUCCUCAGGCAGGUCAAUUUCCUCUCUCAGCCCUGGUUUCUUCAUCUGUGCAACACACUUAUUUACCAAGGACCUCUUCUAUUCAAGACCAUGAAGAGACAUAAAUUAGACAUAGUCCCUAGCCUCAAGGAGCCCACCAAUAGAGGGAGUCUGCAGAUGGCUUGGCACAUGUGGACCCACCUUAUGCCUGACACAGAAUGCUAUCAGUAACUGCUGAAUGACCAAGCAGAUGAAUGGAUGAAGUAUCCAUAAGACCAAAUCUCUCCCUGGCUUUGCCUUCCAAUGAAAGGAAGUCUUGGAACAAGAUGCCCCUCUCUUGCCACACACACUCUGCCUCCCCCACCUUUGUUUUUAAUCCAGUACUGCUGCAUUUUUCAAGUUCUCUCCAUUUUCUCCGGCCACCAAGCCUUUGCAUGUGCUGUUCCUUCUACCUGAAACUCCCUCUGCCCUUGCUAAUUCCUCCUUCUCCACGUCUUUGCUUCAAUGUUUUGGCUGUGAGUUGCCCUGAUUGUUCCCCCAAAGCCCCAUGUUCUCACCUAAGUCACCACCUUCCUUCCUACUUGAAGUGUGAGCUCCUUGAUGCAGAGGCCGUAUCAACUUCAUUUCUGCUUCUCCAGCACCCA
This is a long non-coding RNA of Cercocebus atys (sooty mangabey), 805 nucleotides long. RefSeq lists it as uncharacterized. The record is from RefSeq and is a predicted model, not a curated record. Lineage: Eukaryota; Metazoa; Chordata; Mammalia; Primates; Cercopithecidae. The transcript is spliced from 3 exons.